Long non-coding RNA from Sapajus apella (tufted capuchin), 110 nucleotides. RefSeq lists it as uncharacterized. NCBI's taxonomy places the organism in Eukaryota, Metazoa, Chordata, Mammalia, Primates, Cebidae. The transcript has 3 exons. The record is from RefSeq and is a predicted model, not a curated record.
AAAGGCUUUCUAAAAAUCAAAUACCACGUUUUCAUUUAUAAAUGAGAGCUUAAUAACGAGUACACGUGGAUAUAGAGUGUGGAAUGAUAGACACUGGAGACCCGGAAGAG